UAUAUAAAGCAUGGAUUCCAGUUUUGUUUUUUUGCUUUUUUUUAGUUACUUCCUUGGUAAGAGAUAAUCAUGUAAUUAUGUGAGACUAUCCCUCUAACCUGCAAAUGUUAAAAGCUCUUUUCACUUACCUCCAUGUCGCUUGUUCUUUCUUCCCUGUCAGCAUCCUCCUGUACAGUCUCGGUCUCUUCGCCUUGAACCCGCCACAGCAAACAUGACAAGCCCCCAGUCCUCCCUGUCUCUCCCUCAUUUUGCCCUGAAGCCACAGAGCAAACAUGGUGGUCGGGGUCAUGGGACUGGAGCCUAUCCCAUAACUCAUUUGGCGAGAGGAAGGAAUACACCCUGAGACAGGUUGCCAAUCCAUUGCAGGGCAAACACACACACCAUUCAUUCACACACUCAUUCCUACAGGCAAUUUAGAGUCUCCAACUAGCUUAACCUUCAUGUCUUUGGACUGUGGAAAGAAACCAGACUACCCAGAGGAAACCCAUGUGGACAUUGGAGGGAACAUGCAGAUUUAAACCUGAAACUGUCUUGCUGUUCACAGUGCUAUCCACUGCAAUACUGUGCUGGACUAACUUUGUUAUUAUUGCACAAAUAUAAUUGCAUUCAAAUCAUAUCAAACAACUCAUUUUCAAAUGUAUCCCUCUAGGCUAUUCAACAGGCUGGCAUAAUUAUUAGUCAACAAUUGUGUGUGCACUACAGGGACAUAUCUGUGCUAAUCAAUAAAAAGAUCCUUGAAAGACAAUUUACCUAUAAUACACAUAUUGCUGGUGAACAGGUGCCUAUAGCUAACAAUGAAGAAAAACAAAAAAUCUAAUAAACAAUUCAUUAACAAUAUUCUUGCAGCACACUUCCAAAUGAAACGGCUAAAAUAGUCCUAUUACACAUUGAACGUCCACUUGAGGUUCUUCGGCUACAUGAAAAUGCUUAAUCACCGAGUGUCAAAUUAUCCCACGGUACUUUUUGCGUUUGAUUUGGAGAUAGCUACCUAGCUACCUACAAACUAGUAGCCGUUGCUUGAAUGCUGGAAGUUCCAGCAUUAAUUAAACUAAAUUAUAUUGUCUCGCUAACGUGCAUACUGCAGCCUACCAUAGAUAUACGUGUACUCCGUACUGGAACGUUCACAGCUGGUUAAAGGCUACCUAACUUUACAAGGAUGUAAACCACUAUAUUUAACUUUAGUUAAAUAAUUUCGCGAACAUGAAUGUCUCAAAAUUACCUUAUCACAAACAUUGUGUUCUUGAAGAAAAAAAAAAGGUUCUCCACACAACUACAGUUUAUCAGACAGAGAAAAGGGCGCGCUUUACACUUCCGUGCCUGAUUUGUAACAACAAACUAGUGCAUUAAUGAAAGAUUUUCGAUGCUAAUAACUAGGAAGGAAAGAAUCGACUCUUGCGGGAAAAAAAUCUUGCAAGAAUUAACUUUAUGUUAAAUGUAGAAAUACGCAUGAUAGCCUGCAUAAAACUGACAAGGUGUACGUUCGGGUUGCAAAAACUCGCACUGCUGUUGCAAACGUGCAUUGACUUUCCAGAAAUUUAAAAAAACGGAAGCUGUAGCGGCCGACUGUGACGUCAGAUCCGUUGCUCAGAUUUUGAUCGUUCCAUCAGUGGUAAUCGCUGGGAAAGGUAUCCUUAUAAAAAUGUAAAUAUCAAAAGUAACACAAUCCCAUACUAGGCGAAGCUACUAGCCAAAUUUGCUUGGUCUAUCUCAAAAGCUGUUGGAGCAGUAAAGUACAAUUGAUGUGGAAUUCUAAGAAAUUGCAUUGGUAAAUGGACUGCAUUUAUAUAGCGCUUUUAUCCAAAGCGCUUUACAAUUGAUGCCUCUCAUUUGCAAGAGCAGUUAGGGGUUAGGUGUCUUGCUCAAGGACACUUCAACAUGCCCAGGAUGGGGUUUGAACCGGCAACCCUCCGACUGCCAGACAAUCGGUCUUACCUCCUGAGCUAUGUCGCCCCUUUUCAAGCUAACUUAAUCAUCAGUAGGCCUACAUAAGGAUUAUUUCAGACGGCAAUCAUCAAAUGACUGCCAGAAUUACUGGCCAAAAAUAUGGUUACGGCCUUGCUAUAUGAGUUCAAACUGCAUACAUGACUAUAUAUAUAACUGGCAUGUACAAUUCACUUCACUAACAACGGAAAUGCUAGAACAUUGAAGAACACUAUACAUAUAAACCACAUAUUCUGCUACGUAGGCUAUGCAGUUUAGUGAUUUGUUCUGCAUCACCAUGAAAAUGUGCUGAAUACUGACAAGUACAUGUACUGCACAGUUUCCACUCAGCACCCUCUACUGAUAGAAAGAUAGUUCUCCACAUUGCUUAAGUGCGUCAAUCAAUAGCUAGAUUUCAAAACCACUCCAGCACAAAAUGUAGGAAUGUCUUUCCAAGGAGAUGUUAAAACACUCUAAUUUUGUGUCAUGUGUCACCUUUUAUAUGUACUUUAUAGCCUGCUCAUGGUAAGUGUGUCAGCUAAAUGGUUAAACAAGCUUUACUCACAUGCACCACUUAUGAAAAUUGCAGGGGCAUCCCAAGUCUCCCAUGCAGCUGAAUUAAAAUCUCAUUUUUUAAAAGUUGAAAUUCUAUACAUUUUUUUUUUCUGCAAAUUGACAGUGCUGGCUAAAUAACUGUUACAUAACAAAGCAAAAAAAGUUGAUAAACAUCAUUAUUGUUUUUCAUCAAGGGGGAGUAAUCAGCAAGUGGCAUUCUAUACGUUCUGUAAGUAUGUGAUAUAUAUUAUAGUGUAUACAUGUAGUAUAUAUUUCAUAAACUGGUCCAAGCAUACAGUUAAGAGGACAGAGGACAACACACACCACUGCAUAUACAUAUGCGCACAGGUGCAUCUGUAUACUAUCUGGUCAUAAGCACAAGUGAAGUAAUGUUUAAUGUUUCAUACACGUGUGUGUGUGUGUGUGUGUGUUUUACACACCACGAAAAUGCUUCUUGUACUAAAUCCUGACAGUUUGGGGCGCUGUUGUUUGAUAGCCAGUUUUCAAAUAUUUUUCCUAGAUGGAGACGUCAUAAGAAAGCAUGGCUGUGUUGUUUGGCGGUGUAAGCGCGAGCGCGGUUGUUAUAUGGGUUUGACUGUGCUUUAAUGCUGGAGGGGAUCGUAUCAUGGCCUGGUGAUCACUUAUCGCUGUAAUAUCCUUUUUGUUAUCUCUUAAAAAUAUAUAUAAUAAAAACGAAAAUAGGGCUGUCAAUCGAUCGCGGACAUGCAGACAUGUUCUGUUAUGGUGAUGUGACUGAUAUUGGCUCAGUCACGGAAACAGUCACGGAAACACGGAAACGGAAAUUUACCAAACAUAUUCGGCAGUUUGUGGUUAGUUAGGCUACGUGUUUUAUAUGAUGUGAUAACCUAUGCGAGUAAGGCGUAAGUAAGGCUUACAAAUGGGGAAGCGUAUGUGUUUUUUCUGCUGGCAAAGGGCUGGGCUCUGUUAGCGGGGGUAUGAAGCAGCUACGACAUGUCCAUGUUCUGUAAGUGGAAAUAAAGUGGAAGAGUGUUGUGAUGUUCAUGUUCACAGCGAAAAAUAAGUCCAUGUCUACUUAAUAGCGAUCUCGCAGGUGAAUGGCAGUGAAAGAUUAAAGGUUUUACUCCCGGCGUGUGGUGUGACGUGGGGGGAGUGUAGGUAUUUCAUGCGUCUCUUUGUAAAGGAGCGCGCAUGGCACGUUCAUGUACUGUACACAGACGGGGUCGCGCGCCACAUUUUUCUCAAGCAAUUGGGUGGAGCAAUUGUUUUUCCUACAAUAUGAAGCAAAUACACAAAGAGGCAAUAAAAUGGCAUUCUUCUGCACAUGUGAAUUGAUUGGAGUGCGUUGUGGUAGGCUGGGGUUGCUGAAUUAACCUCCAGGUUACCUGGUAAUGUCAUUACUAUACCAGAAGUAUGACCUGAAGAUUUUGUAAAUAACUUAGUGUGUCUGUUUGUCUGUAUUUUUCUGGAUGUGCCCACUUAAUAAAGCAACAAUUUUUUUGUUCACCACCAACCAUCUUGUUUCCCGAGGAUCCAUUUUAAGUUCAUAUUAAAAUGCAGUGUGAUUGAGUGUACAUUCAGCCAAAAUGGGAUGUUUCAUUUGAAGCAGCUACGGCAUUUACAGCACUGUUUCCAAAACAUUAGAAUAUAUAAUUAUUUGUUUCUUUCUGCCUACAUUAUAAAUGAACAGAAUUAAAACCGGUUACCUCUUGAAAGCAGAAUAUCGUAGCCCACCAUCUUUCAUGCUUUCAUGCAAAUUUUUUUAUUGAUUUUCAUGGAGGCCCACCAUUUUGAAUGGUUGCAGGAGCAUUGUCACACAGACCUUUUGCACCUUGCAGGUUAUGAGCAAGAGGGAGCCGAAUUUGGAAACUGUAUUUCUGCGUCAUACACUAUGCUUAAAAAUUCACAACAAAAAUAGUUUGUUGUUCUGCAGGGUUAGGGUUAUGAGUAGACGUGUUUUGACUGCGCUGUCGUGCAGUCAUAUGCAGAUUGUGGAUUCUAGAACCAGGUUUGUCAGCUGGUAAUCACAAGGUUGCAGCAAUAUGUGAGCCUCCUUAGCCUUAAUGUGGUCAUUGACCCUCUGUACACUCCCAGCAGAGCUGAAACUCGUGACUGAUGUCAAGGAAGUGCCGCUGUUUCUCAAACAGUAGGUGGCACAGCCGGAUACCGCCAGCUCUCUGAAACCUUUCCGGUGGGGUGUACUAUGUGUCAGAAUUUGGGGGGUCUACGGUGGAGGGAUCCGUGAAUUUGUCUUCAACAGGUUUGGAGAAGCAUUUGGCAUUUAUAUACAUUAUGCCACAGUUUGCAAUUGUUUAUUUUAUUGAUCAUUACGGACCAUUAUUGACCAUUAGCUAUAAUGCAAUAGCUGAGUCUAAUGAAAUGCACUACUACUGUUACCUCUUCAGAAAUGAGAAUGUGCAUCUUAAAGAAACCAAAAACCUUUACCCAUCAUGCACAGGCAAUUAACUUAUGACUUUUUUGUUUGUCAAAAGAGGAUUAAGUCAAUCCAGAGUGGGAGACCACUGCCACAUGGCUUGCAGUCAGAGUCUAAUGUUUUUACUAUGAUUACUCCUCAUUGCUCUUCAGAGAUGCCCUUUUACAUUUUUAACAGUCGUGCAUUUCAGAAACCAGGAUGAAAUUAAAUUGGAACAAUUGGAAUUUGGUAAACACCACUAGCAGCUCUUCACUUCUUAGUGAUCAGAAAGAAUUCAAAUGAAAUAUCUGAUUUUACACACUGGUUUCAUGGUUUAUUCUAGCUACUUCCACCUGGCCACCAUUUUAUGGAAUUUUAAGGGAGAACUAUUUUGAGAGGCCUUUUAUUCCUACUGGAAUUUUACAUUUAAAUUCAAAUAAGAACCUGAGCAUUAGGAAGCCUACCAUACUUUGUGUAAUUUAAAUUUUUAACAAAACUGAACCAUAAAGCUUUUGAAUUGAACUGAAGUGAAUUGAGGACCUUUGUUUUCUUGUGGCUGCAUAAAGUCUGGUAAGUGUCAAUUAUGGAUUUAUUUGAUAAAAAAUCUUUUGACUAUUUCCACUGUUUUUUCAUGAGAGCUAUUAAUUACACCAAUUGAUUUUCAGUUAAAAUGGGCCUGCUGAUUCAGCUAAUUGGACUUUUUUUAAUAGCAUUUAAUAAAUUUUGUUUCUUUUCUGUGGUCUGGAAGAUCAGAAAUUAAGAAUGUAAUUUCAUGACAUCAGCAAUGUAAGGCCUGAGCAUGACAUCACUGAUACAUGAUGCUUUGGAUUGUCAUGGGCUGUUUACAGUUGAAGCAGAAUAUUUUCUAAAAGUGAAUCUAAUUAUGCUGCAUUUUUGACUCUGAGUAGAUAAAACUUCUACAGCUGAUUCUCAAUCAAAUGUAUGUGAAUGUCUCUGUCAUUAAUCGCAAUUUUUAAAAGGGGUGAACUGAGAUACAAUGACCCAGCUGAGGUAUGAGUAAAGUGUUCUGUAAAUAUGGCGCUCUCUAUAUUGUAUUAACAGGCUAAUUUAUGUCUGCAUAUUCAAAUGUUAAAUAGGUGCCACAUCCUCAGCAGAACCAAUGUUAUGAAACUCCAAUCUGUCAUUUAAUUUUCUUUCACCUCCCGCCCGGCGGCUGUCUUGGAGAGAAGCUAGCAGACGUUUGCCCAUUUGUUAUAUUGCGGCCAUUAAUUUUCACCUUGUCUUCAUUUCUCUCGCCUUCCCUGCCCUCAGCCAAACAUUUUGCUGAGUCACAGUGAGCGAGGAGUACUAAGUGUAUCUGAAUGCAAACCUUACACUGCUAACCCAUACACCACCACCUUCCCCGAGAGAGAGAGAGAGAGAGAGAGAUUGUUUGUGUGGUUGUGUGUGUGUGUGUGUGAGAGAGAGAGGGUUUCGAGAGUGUGUAUGUUUGUAGUGAGUGGUUGUGUGUGUGUGUGUGAGAGAGAGAGACAGGGUUUUGAUAGUGUGUAUGUGUGUGGUGAGAGGUUGUGUGUUGCUGUGAGCAUGUAUGUGUGUGUGAGAGAGAGAGAUGGUUCAUUUGUAGGCAUUUAUGUGGCAGUUGUAGCAUUGCUUCUGAUUUGGGUUUAUUUGUUUUACAGCAAAAUCAAUCUAUAUUCAUUAGCUCAAGCAGAAUGCUCUCCGACACAGAUCAAACAAUGUUUGUAAAGAUUUUUCACGCAUAUCUGCCCCAUAAAAUCUGGAUGGUGCAGUAGCAGCUGCUUGGGAGGAAAAACAGCUCAUUUCCUCUACAGCUUCAGUGUCAGUUACUGUAUUUACACAUAAAG
This is a long non-coding RNA of Anguilla rostrata (American eel), 6693 nucleotides long. RefSeq lists it as uncharacterized. The record is from RefSeq and is a predicted model, not a curated record. The transcript has 3 exons. NCBI's taxonomy places the organism in Eukaryota, Metazoa, Chordata, Actinopteri, Anguilliformes, Anguillidae.